RNAcentral lists this long non-coding RNA (3493 nucleotides) under Mytilus galloprovincialis (Mediterranean mussel). Lineage: Eukaryota; Metazoa; Mollusca; Bivalvia; Mytilida; Mytilidae. The record is from RNAcentral.
ACCUUAUCAAAAAUGGGGACCACAUUUCGGUAAGUAAACACUAACUUUAUUUUUAUUUAUAAAAGUUAUAUUUGUAAGUAAGUUGAAUAAAAUCUAUAUUUUAAUUUCUAUUAAAUUUUCAAUUGUUAUGCUUAUUAACAAAACAAACAUUCAUCGUAGUAGAUAAACUUCAAAUUUGGAACAUUAAGGUAUGAAAAUCAUAUCAAAACUAUGUUCAAACCACGGCGGGUGUCUCUUGAAACACAUAACACUGAGGUACCUAGUUAUGCAACCCAUAAUGACCCCUUAAGAUGUUAAUAAAGUCACACAUAGGACCUGUUCCGUAUACUAUAGUUUUAAUGUGCCGUCAAAAAACCUACUGUUAUUAACAACUGCCAUCAUCUUAUGUGAAAUAUUGGAGAUUGGAAGACAUUUUUUUCACGUUUUAUUCUGUUGCAUCGGGAUCAGUCAUUUCAAAACAAUUGCGCAAUUAAUUGAUUGAAAUUAUAUGAUAUUGAUGCUCCCUUAACUGCAAAUUAUAGUUGUCAAAGUCUGUGUGAAAUACAAUGCUACCUAGAUGUAAUUGUUUAUCAGUUAAAAAUGGAAAGUAUUACAAAGCUUCGUAUAGUUAACAUAGACAUGGUAUCAGAUUUUUUUAGGGUGAUGGAUUUUACGUAAAGCUGGACAAUGACGAAGUUGACGUUGAUUUUCUCGGUUGUGUACGCUGUUAUACUAUGCAUUGUGCAUGCAGAAGGUAUGCAGUAAUAUGUUUUUCAGUGACAUUUAUUAUUAUGAGAAUUGAAACGUACUCUCAGCCCCGAGGAUAUUCGCUACAGAUUUGAUUUUAUUUCGGUUAUACAUUUAUCAGUUGCAAAUCGUGCCACAAUUUGUAUGUGAUUGUCCCGGUAGUAGACAAUAUAAAGCAUGUCGUAUGUUUUUUUUAAUCAUAUUUGUACAAAACUAGGCCGUUGUUUUUCGUAUUUGAAUUUUUUUCAUGUGCCACGUGGGGUAUCGGUUAGUGGUGGGUGGGGUUUAUAGCUUGCCUUAAGGUAUGAUAUCCUAAUUAGUAAGCUGUGGAGUGACAUAUAUUUACUGCCUGCCAUAUCAUUUUGUCUAUUGUUGAGAGUUAUCUCAUUGUGCGCGCUAAAAGAUUCCGUUCUAAAUAUGAUUGUAUUGCUGCUUGUUUUUCCAUGGUCCAUUGACAACUAGGUGAUACACUCUAGGAAAAACGACGAAUGAGUCACAUUCAUACAUCUAUGUUAAAUAAAGGCAACAGUAGCAUACCGCUGUUUGAAAUUCAUAAAUCGAUUAAGAAAAAACCAAAUCCGUGUUACAAACUAAUGAUCUAGUGACAACUAGCUAAUAUACUAUAGGACGAAAAAAAAGUAAUAUAAGAAACCACUUAUGAGUCACAUACAGUACAUAAUACAAUGAGAUGCAGGGGUUCAUGGAUUAAACGUGCAAUCCUGAUCGUAUGUGGCCAUGUACUGAUCCAUCCCGUACAGCCAACCAGAUUUAUAAACGGUAUUUGUUUUGUCGGACUGGUAAAAGUCAAGGGAAUCAAUAGUGUCGACAGGGUAAAUCCCUGUUGGUAUGCAUCACAGUGGUAUGCAUGCAUGAUCAGCGUUGCGAAUACGAACUCAAAAUGUCACGACAGGCAAUAAAACACAAUGCGAACUAACACGUUUAAUCAAAGAAUUCAUGCUCUCUCUCAAAGUGGAGAGCCUGUAACCCAGUCCUUUUAUUGGUUGCUCUCUGUCAUAACUGUUUUUCCGCAUAUAUAUAAAACAGAUAAAUGUACUAGUAAAUGUUUAUGCUCUUUUUGAAAUGUUACCCAUUUUGUCAGUUCGACGCCUUGUACAAUUUUAAAAAGUAAUACUUACACUAUACCAAAAAAAAAAAUGUUAACCACGUAGAGUAAGGUUUGUGAAAGUACAUGAUUUAUGGUAUUGAAGCAUAAAAAUAUGUUUUUUUUAUUAUUUCACCGCAUAUAAUUUGUCGUAUAUGUGUUCUACAUUGUUCUAGGAUCUAUAAACAGUGACAAUGCUGCAGCUUCCAACGAACCAAAUAGGUUAGUACAGUAAACUUCAUAUGUUUCUAUAUUUUUUUAUAUAAUAUAUAUUAGAUUGUUAGUUUUCCAUUUUGAAGGUUUGCAAUACUAGUAGUCACGUUGUGACCUUUUAUAGCGUGCUGUUCGGUUUAAUUAAAGGCUCCGUUUUGAAGUCCGUACUUUGGCCUAUUAAUGGUUUACUUUUACACAUAGUGACUUGACGAACAGUUUUCUCAUUGGUACUCAAACAAGUUAAUAAUCGUAUUUAUAAUUUAUAACGAAAUGUAAUUUUGCAACACUGCAGGAAUAAAAUGUAAUUAAUAAGGCCAGUAUAUAUAAAAAAAUGGAACACUGCAUUUUGCCUAUCUGGAUCAUAUCUGUAGAACUUAAAACACAUACAAUAAGCUAUCUUAAAAAGGAAAUGUUCUAACAGUGUGCUCUGGUUGUGGCUAGCUAGAAAAGCUUUUAGUCUUUAUUGCAUUGACUGAAGAAGGCUUCUUACUUUUCCGACGAUGGAAUUUGGCCUAUUGUAAUGCGAUAUUAAAUUCUAGGGAGGGUAAUGGCUGGGUAUUCGGCUGAGUCCGACAAUAACGGACGCUCUUGGUUUAUUCUGCUUGAAGUAUAAGUUUGCCGUUCAAAAAAGCCAAUUUUUAGUCUAUUAAGCAGUGUUUUGUGAAUUCAGCGAUGUUUUCAAUUGGUUAAGGUGGUACCCAACACUUUCACUAAAAUUAAUUUGGCUCGUUUAAUUUUCAUAAAAUUUUGACAAAGUAUUUACUUUGAACCUAUAACAAAAAUAUAUAGAUUUCUAAAAUUUUGAACCAACCAUUUUAUCAGAAAAAAUACACUGGUUAUAUAGCAGUUUGACAAACACCAAUUUUGAUCAUUGAGAAGCUUUAUAUUCUCUUAACAACACAAUGUAAUUAAAACGUUUAGCUGACUUUACAGAGUUAUCUCCCUGUAGUGUUAGGUACCACCUUAAUAUGCUCGUGACGUCAUAGCUCUGGCAUGACAUAUGUCAUAAGAAAAAGGCGUCUUGCUGUAAAAGUGUCUUUGAAGAUUACAAACAAUAUGUGCACACCGGGUGGUAAUAUCAGUUUGGUAAUUAUACUUCGGAGGUUCCGCACUCAAUUUGUCUCGAUCAAGAACGCACUAAUCUGCGUAGCGUUUAUGUUCUCUGUGAUGAGUUUGCGUUUUACCGUCCUGAAAUCUGAUAUUAAAUACAUGACAAGAUAUAUGAUGUUUUUUUUAGUUCCUUUUGGCUUGAACUAUCAGUCAGUAACUACGAGUACUCUCAGAUUUGUACUUUGAAUAUAAACAAAUUAUCAUUGCAUUACUUGUAUUAACUACCAGUAAUAUAUUUCAGUAUGGCAAUAGGAGCUAUCGUCGCUACAGGUGUUCUUUGUGGAAUUGGUGCCGUGUUGUGUAUUGGAGGACUGGUGUUCGCAUGCAAGAAAUGUGUAUCAG